GGGCCCGCACAAGCGGAGGAACAUGUGGUUUAAUUCGAUGAUACGCGAGGAACCUUACCCGGGCUCGAACGGCAGAGUGAUGAUGGGGAAACUUAUCAGCCAGCAAUGGACUCUGUCGAGGUGCUGCA
RNAcentral lists this ribosomal RNA (128 nucleotides) under uncultured bacterium. RNAcentral describes it as "partial 16S ribosomal RNA". It matches the Rfam family "Bacterial small subunit ribosomal RNA", at positions 917 to 1045 of the family's 1533-position model. The record is from RNAcentral.